Molecule: long non-coding RNA, 1205 nt
Filed under: Cavia porcellus (domestic guinea pig)
Lineage: Eukaryota; Metazoa; Chordata; Mammalia; Rodentia; Caviidae
Description: lncRNA (ENSCPOG00000030341.1)
Source: RNAcentral
UUCAUAAUUAGGAUUGAAAAAUCUAUGUGAAGAUGAUCUUAAAACAUUAACAUCUCCAAAUUCCAAAGAUAGCAGGUCAUUUCCUCUGCCCAAGAAUAACUUGGCAACACUGAAAGCAGCUCUGUAUUCCUCUAAUGGUGCACACACACUCUGUAAAACCUUUAUCAUGGAUCAGGAAAGUCUUGAAUCUGGAUAAUCUUUUGGCAUUAUUCCUUUUCCUCCUCUUAUGGCAUGAUGUUUACAAAUCAGGAUAAAAUAUUUAAGAUAUUAAAUUCUAAUUCUCUGGUCAUUUGAUAGAUGCUGUUUAACUUAAGUAUCAGCUUAUUUAUAUGGAUAUUUGCAGUUUAAUUCUAUAAUUUCAUCCCCAUAUUAAAAACAAUGAGGUAGAAUUUGAACUCAGGUGCGUCUGAUUUCUAAAUUCUGGUUUACUGUACCAGGCCAUAAUACCUCCUAGAUGCCAAUUAAUCUAGCUGCUCGGCAAGACUUUUCAGUACUGAGCUUUCCUGCCAGCCUAUUUUGACAGAGUCCCAAGUGCUCAGAGUGAAGACACCACGCUCCUUGGAGGAACAAGCCAGCACAUAAUCAAUCAGAACCAUGUUCUGAAAUUAGUCUCAUUCUUUCCAAGUGGAAUAGUCACAGCAUGACCCAAUUAGGAGUCCCAAAGAUUUGGAAAAAAAGGAUGGGAAAAAAUACUGAGCUUAAUGCAAGAAAAUUACCAAGGAAGAGCAAAGGUGAAGAUUCUGAAUGGUACCUUCUGGAAGUGUUGGCAAGAACUGCAUUCAGAACAAGUAUAUUUAUGUCACCUCACCACAGCUCAUAUUUUUCAGUUUAACACUACAGAACCAUGAAGCUGUAAAGUGAAAACCUCUUCCAAGCAGACAAGCAGGGAGCGCAAUGGGAAGCCUCAGUCCCCAGAUGAAAAACAAGCAGUUCCAGCGGAGGCUGCGCAAGCAAGGCCAUGGACUGGACAGCAGCAACUGCAGCCACAGAAGCUGUGUGGUGCGGAUGGCAGGGGCUGGCCCGAGCCAGGCUUGGGAGCAAAGGCUGGAAGCCGGUCUCAGGGAAAAGGCACCCCGGCCAAUCCAGGAGGAGGAAGAUCACCCUCCAGGGACGAGGGCCUCAGCUGUAGGAGGCACUGGAUUCCCAGGGACAGACACCACCAGAAGACCUUGAGUGCAAAAGCCUCUUUCGGCAACAGAAUGCAA